RNAcentral lists this ribosomal RNA (530 nucleotides) under uncultured bacterium. RNAcentral describes it as "bacterial SSU rRNA". It matches the Rfam family "Bacterial small subunit ribosomal RNA", at positions 21 to 566 of the family's 1533-position model. The record is from RNAcentral.
GGCUCAGGAUGAACGCUGGCGGCGUGCUUAACACAUGCAAGUCGAACGGGGUUUAGGAGCUUGCUCCUAGACCUAGUGGCGAACGGGUGAGUAACGCGUGAGCAACCUGCCCAUAUCAGGGGAAUAACACAGUGAAAACUGUGCUAAUACCGCAUAAGACCACAGAGAGGCAUCUCUCAGGGGUAAAAGAUUUAUCGGAUAUGGAUGGGCUCGCGUCCUAUAGGUAGUUGGUGAGGUAACGGCUCACCAAGCCCGCGAUAGGUAGCCGACCUUAGAGGGUGAUCGGCCACAUUGGAACUGAGAAACGGUCCAGACUCCUACGGGAGGCAGCAGUGGGGAAUAUUGGGCAAUGGAGGCAACUCUGACCCAGCAACGCCGCGUGAAUGAUGAAGGUCUUCGGAUUGUAAAGUUCUGUGAUGGGGGAUGAACACAAUGACGGUACCCCAAUAGCAAGCCACGGCUAACUACGUGCCAGCAGCCGCGGUAAUACGUAGGUGGCAAGCGUUAUCCGGAAUGACUGGGCGUAAAGG